CCCGAGGAGGCGCCGGCGGCCGGGAGCGGAGUGCCCGAGCCCUCGGCGGGCGGGAGCGUGGGCCGGAGCCGCCGAGGUCAAGAGGCAACUGCCAUUGAAAGAUAGUGAGUGACAGUUUCCAGGACAACCACCAUUGAGGGGAGCAGCCAGAAGCACUGACUGAAAGCUUAAAUUACCUAAAUGAGUGAUAAUGGUCUCCAGCUGCCAAAGAAGGCUGUGGAUGCCAAAAGAAAGGUAACCAUUUCUCAUCCCCUCGAGUGGAAUUGGAUGCCUCUUGGAGUUCACACUGGCUGACAGUAGACAUGGCUGAGUUUACAAACUACAAGGAUACUGCCUCCAGCCGCCACCUGCGGUUUAAGUUACAGAGUCUAAGCCGCCGCCUUGAUGAGUUGGAAGAAGCCACAAAAAACCUCCAAAAAGCAGAGGAUGAGCUCCUGGAUCUGCAGGACAAGGUGAUUCAGGCAGAAGGCAGCAACUCCAGCAUGCUGGCUGAGAUUGAAGUGCUGCGGCAGCGAGUGCUGAGAAUCGAAGGCAAAGAUGAGGAAAUUAAGAAAGCAGAGGACCUGUGUCAGCUGAUGAAGGAGAAACUUGAAGAGGAGGAAAACCUCACCCGGGAGUUGAAAUCUGAGAUUGAGCGGCUUCAGAAACGAAUGGCCGAACUGGAGAAGCUAGAGGAGGCCUUUAGCAGGAGUAAGAAUGACUGCACCCAACUCUGUUUGAGCCUGAAUGAGGAGAGAAACCUGACGAAGAAAAUCUCCUCUGAGCUGGAAAUGCUCAGGGUCAAAGUGAAAGAACUGGAGUCUUCUGAGGACCGCCUAGAUAAAACUGAGCAGAGUUUAGUGUCAGAGUUAGAAAAGCUGAAAUCAUUAACUCUGAGCUUUGUAAGUGAGAGAAAAUACCUGAAUGAAAAGGAGAAAGAAAAUGAGAAACUUAUAAAAGAGCUCACUCAAAAACUGGAGCAGAACAAAAAAAUGAACCGAGAUUAUACAAGGAAUGCUUCUAAUCUUCUGGAAAGGAAUGACCUGCGGAUUGAGGACGGUAUCUCUUCCACACUGCCAUCCAAAGAAUCCAGAAGGAAAGGCACUCUGGACUAUCUAAAGCAGGUAGAGAAUGAAACAAGAAAUAAAUCUGAAAAUGAAAAGAACCGAAAUCAGGAAGACAAUAAAGUCAAAGACCUUAACCAAGAGAUUGAGAAACUUAAGACACAAAUCAAACAUUUUGAAUCUUUGGAAGAAGAGCUUAAGAAAAUGAGGGCCAAAAAUAAUGACCUUCAGGAUAAUUACCUAAGUGAACAAAAUAAAAACAAACUCUUAGCCAGCCAGUUGGAGGAGAUAAAACUACAAAUCAAGAAACAGAAAGAAUUAGAGAAUGGGGAGGUGGGAGGGGAGGAUGCUUUCCUGUCUAGCAAAGGCAGGCACGAGAGGACUAAGUUUAGAGGCCACGGGAGUGAGGUAUCUGUGUCUAAGCACACAUCUCGGGAACUGUCCCCUCAGCAUAAGCGGGAAAGGCACCGAAACAGGGAGUUUGCUCUUAACAAUGAAAACUAUUCUCUGAGCAACCGGCAAGUUUCCUCUCCUGGUUUUACGAAUAGGAGGGCAGCCAAAGCUUCCAACUUAGGGGCAGGUACAGAUAGUGGGACUCAGGAGACAAAGAGAACUGAAGAUCGAUUUGCAUCUGGCUCCUCUCAGAGUGAAGGGAAGAAGUCCAGGGAGCAGCCAUCAGUGCUUAGCCGCUACCCUCCAGCUGCUCAGGAGCACAAUAAAGUUUGGAGGGGUACUCCCAAGCCAGGCACUGAGAGUGGGUUGAAGGGAAAAGUAGAGAAGACAACACGAACAUUUAGUGAUGCCACCCAUGGACCUAUUCCCAAUGACAUAUUGUGUAGAGCUGACAAGGCUUCUGACACCUCCACUGAGGCCCUCUUUGGCAAGAGGGGGCAGGCGCCUAGCAAUGGAAGCCAAGUAACUCAGGCCGCAGACUCUGGCAGUUCUAAGGCCAUUGGCGCUCUGGCCUCAUCUCGAAGAUCUUCCUCAGAAGGGCUCUCUAAGGGCAAAAAGGCUGCCAAUGGCCCAGAGGCUGAUACCAGUUCUUCCAAUACCAAGGCUCCACUUUCAUCAAAGUAUCCUUAUAGCUCCAGAAGCCAAGAGAACAUCCUUCAGGGUUUUUCAACCCCAAGUAAAGGAGUUGAUCAACCUGUAGCAGUUGUGAUGGAAGACAGCAGUCAGCAUGAGGCCCUAAGGUGUCGUGUCAUCAAAUCUAGUGGCAGAGAGAAGCCAGACUCAGAUGAUGACAUGGACAUGUCGUCUCUUGUUACUGCCAAAUUGGUAAACACAACCAUCACCCCAGAGCCAGAGCACAAACAACAGCCCAACUUCAGAGAAACAGGCAAAUCCCGAGGGGGCCUUAGAACAGCCCUGUCGGAGGAUGAUAAAGAUGUCGGGACAGAAAAUGAAUCUGUGAAACCUGUCAGAGCCUCCACCAAUACUGUGGAAUUCCCAGAGGCCAAUGGUGCUGGAGUAAAAAGUCAAAGGCCCUUCAGUCCCAGAGAGGCCUUGCGGUCCAGAGCUGUCAUUAAACCUGUCAUCAUUGAUAAAGAUGUGAAAAAAAUCAUGGGCGGGUCUGGAACCGAGGCCACAUUGGAGAAACAGACAUCCACCUCCAAACCAGGACCAAACAAAGUGACAAGCAGCAUUACUAUCUAUCCCUCUGACAGCAGUAGCAGCAGCAGCCCAAGAGCCGCCCCAGGUGAGGCCCCGCGGGAGAGGCACACAUCCACCAGCAAUAUCCAGGUUGGGCCACCAGACCUCACAUCAGUGAGCAACCAUGUCAACCCCCCCUUUGAGCUCUCCAUUCACAAACAUGACAUCACCUUACAGUUCACAGAGGCUGAAAGAAUGGGAGAUGGGUCCCUGAAGAACAGGCCUGAAACAGUGGUCUCUCGGAGCAGCAUUAUCAUCAAGCCAUCGGAUCUGUUGGAGAGGAAUAACCAUGCACCCCCUGCAGAGACAAUCAGGUGGAAAGGCCAUAGUGCUCCUUCAGAGGUGAGCCCUUCAGAGGCCAGGCAUGUUACUGUGCGGAAUGCCUGGAAGAGCAGGCGAGAUUUGAACUCUUUAGAAGAUCCCCCAACUCAGAUAGGUAAAAAUGUGGUGUCUACCAAUGCCUACACCCAGAGGUCUUCUACAGACUACUCAGACCUUGAACAGCCCAGGUCUUACCUUUUGGAGCAGGGUACUCGAAGGGUAGGAAACCCAGGGGAUGCCCCUGAGCUCUCUUCUAGAAGGACCCAAAGUAGCCUCACUGUGUCAGAGAUGCUCACUCGCCGGAAUCGGGUGGGAGAUGCUGUCACGGCUGCGGCUUGGAACCAUGUGGCAGGCAUGGAGGAAGGCGAUGACUGCACACUCAAUGUCUACAGGCGACCACACAGCUCCGUGGAACGGCCUGAACUGCCCGUGAAGCAGGGGCUGUCAGAGCCUGGGCAAGUACAGGCUGAGGAACGGUUACGACCAACCAGGCCCUGUGCUGAGGAAAACUGAGCCAGCCGGGUGAGGUCUGCUGUGUCCUCUGCUCCUGCUCAGCUCUUCCACCUUCCCAUCCUACGAAGGAUCCCGGGCCAGCUAACUGGGCUAGACACGAGGCCUUGGCUGGGAGAUUGUGGCAGAGAGCCAGGCUGUGGCUCAGGUCAUUUUUGCCAGGCGGCCAAUGGAGAUCAGAAACUACAAGCUGGACAGUCACCCAGGCCCAGCCUUCCCUGAUUGAUGCAUGAGUCCUCUCUCCUUGUCCCUGCCCUGUUCCCAGUAGAAUCGGCCACUCUGGCCACAAAUAGGGAAUGAUAUCCUUAUAUCCUCACCACGCAAUAGCCCCUUCCACGCAGUUAAUGUUCUGAUUUCUUGGUCUCCUCACCACAUCCAAUUCACUCCCUGUCUGCCCUAGGGACCUAAGUACCGACACUAAGACUUACCAGCCGUCAGCUCCAUUUAGGGAGCUUCCAUUCCUUUCCCCUUUGGAAUUCUUCAGACUUUUACCAGAGAGGUCUGUGCUGCCUCUAGGGGAUUAUGGGACUAUGACCUGGCCCCCUUGCUGACCACUUGUUUCCUGGGGGCAGAGCACACAGGUACCUGCCCACCUAUUGGAAUGACAUCAUCCCUCCCCUGAUCCCAGCUCUCAGCUCACCUUCCAAAGGCACCUGGAAGUGCACACACCUCAUGCAUCUCCUUCCCUGGGCACCAAUAAUGCUACUGGCAUUGCCUGCUUCUCCUGUGGCUGGAGACUUCACGUUGACUUUGUUUCCACCUUCGGAAUAUUCCCCGACUAAACUGGGCCUGACCCAGCAUACUCUGCCUUCUAGGAAGCGCCCAGCAAAGGGGAAAGUGGACAGGAAGAAGCACUUUCCCAUUAGUCACUCCACAAAGCAAUAGCUCCGUGAAAGGCCUGGACUUUGUUCCUCCUCUUCCAUCCCCUAGGGAGGAGGUAUCGCACUUUACCAAGCUGAUGCAUUCCUACAGAAGUGGGCCCAUGAUUCCUGCAAACCAACUAUCAUGAUGACUUCAUGGGAGGAAAGGCAGGUGCUCGGGCCUCUCCCCUGGCUCUUGGAGUCUAGGUGCAGCAGCUUCUACAUUCCUGCUCCAAGCAUGGGACCAAGGAGGCCGGACCCUGUCGCUGGAAACCAGGGCACAGCCAUGAGCGGUGACUCGGCUCCUUGGGUGCAUGUGUCUAGCUGAAGCUGCCUGUCUGCAUGUAUCCUCUGGCUCUAACGCUGUCUGUUGGCUCUGCAGCACAAUAUGUAACCAAUAAAGCUCCCUAGUUUCCA
Molecule: RNA transcript, 4804 nt
Organism: Eptesicus fuscus (big brown bat)
Lineage: Eukaryota; Metazoa; Chordata; Mammalia; Chiroptera; Vespertilionidae
Gene: LUZP1
Gene name: leucine zipper protein 1
Exons: 5
Source: RefSeq, a predicted model, not a curated record